GUGGGGAAUCUUGCGCAAUGGGCGAAAGCCUGACGCAGCCAUGCCGCGUGAAUGAUGAAGGUCUUAGGAUUGUAAAAUUCUUUCACCGGGGACGAUAAUGACGGUACCCGGAGAAGAAGCCCCGGCUAACUUCGUGCCAGCAGCCGCGGUAAUACGAAGGGGGCUAGCGUUGCUCGGAAUUACUGGGCGUAAAGGGCGCGUAGGCGGACAGUUUAGUCAGAGGUGAAAGCCCAGGGCUUAACCUUGGAAUUGCCUUUGAUACUGGCUGUCUUGAGUACGGGAGAGGUGAGUGGAACUCCGAGUGUAGAGGUGAAAUUCGUAGAUAUUCGGAAGAACACCAGUGGCGAAGGCGACUCACUGGCCCGUUACUGACGCUGAGGCGCGAAAGCGUGGGGAGCAAACAGGAUUAGAUACCCGAGUAGUCC
Molecule: ribosomal RNA, 425 nt
Filed under: uncultured bacterium
Lineage: Bacteria
Description: bacterial SSU rRNA
Rfam family: Bacterial small subunit ribosomal RNA
Source: RNAcentral